This 459-nucleotide ribosomal RNA is filed under the name Cybister marginicollis. Its description in RNAcentral is "partial 16S ribosomal RNA". The record is from RNAcentral. Lineage: Eukaryota; Metazoa; Arthropoda; Insecta; Coleoptera; Dytiscidae.
AACAAAAACAUGUCCUUUUGAAUUUAAUUUAAGGUCUAACCUGCCCAAUGAAAAAUUUAAAUGGCCGCAGUAUUUUGACUGUGCAAAGGUAGCAUAAUCAUUAGUUUUUUAAUUAAAAGCUUGUAUGAAGGGUUGGACGAGAUAAAAACUGUCUUAGAUUAAUUUAUUAUAGAAUUUAAUUUUUAAGUCAAAAAGCUUAAAUAUAAUUAAAAGACGAGAAGACCCUAUAGAUCUUUAUAAUUUUAAUUUUAAUUAAAUUUUAGAAUUUUAUAUUAUUUAAAUUUAAAAUUAUUAUAUUGGGGUAAUAUAAAGAUUAAAAUAAUUCUUUAUUUAUUUUUACAUUAAUUUAUGAUUAUAUGAUCCAAUUUUAUUGAUUAUAAGAUUAAGUUACCUUAGGGAUAACAGCGUAAUUUUUUUAGAGAGUUCAUAUCGAUAAAAAAGUUUGCGACCUCGAUGUUG